RNAcentral lists this ribosomal RNA (497 nucleotides) under uncultured bacterium. Its description in RNAcentral is "partial 16S ribosomal RNA". It matches the Rfam family "Bacterial small subunit ribosomal RNA", at positions 30 to 523 of the family's 1533-position model. The record is from RNAcentral.
AUUGAACGCUGGCGGCAUGCCUAACACAUGCAAGUCGAACGCGAAAGAGGGGCAACCCUUGAGUAGAGUGGCGGACGGGUGCGUAAUACGUAGGAAUCUGCCCUAAAGUGGGGGACAACCACGCGAAAGCGUGGCUAAUACCGCAUAAUCUCGAGAGAGUAGAGGUGGGUAGCAAUACCUAUCGCUUUAGGAUGAGCCUACGCCGGAUUAGCUAGUUGGUAGGGUAAUGGCCUACCAAGGCAACGAUCCGUAGCUGGUCUGAGAGGACGACCAGCCACGCUGGGACUGAGAUACGGCCCAGACUCCUACGGGAGGCAGCAGUGGGGAAUAUUGGACAAUGGGGGAAACCCUGAUCCAGCAAUGCCGCGUGUGCGAUGAAGGCCUGCGGGUUGUAAAGCACUUUCGUUGGGGAAGAAAUACUUGUAGCUAAUACCUGCAAGGGUUGACGUUACCCAAAGAAGAAGCACCGGCUAACUCUGUGCCAGCAGCCGCAGUAA